RNAcentral lists this long non-coding RNA (222 nucleotides) under Nicotiana benthamiana. Its description in RNAcentral is "long non-coding RNA (NBEN_LNC000675)". The record is from RNAcentral. Lineage: Eukaryota; Viridiplantae; Streptophyta; Magnoliopsida; Solanales; Solanaceae.
GACAUGUUGGAAAGAUCAGAGGUGAUGUGAUGGGAGGCACCAGAGUCCAGGAUCCAAUCGGAUGCAGAUGGAGUCGUCGGAGAGUGAUGGGUUGUAUGAGCAGCCGGAUAAGGCGGUGAAGCAUAAGCUGGUCGCGACAGUGGUCCACCAUAAGGGGGAUGAUUGGCGCCGGAGAUGGGAUAGGACGGACAGCGGCACGCGGAGUGGCCAAAUUCACUGCAG